RNAcentral lists this ribosomal RNA (489 nucleotides) under uncultured bacterium. Its description in RNAcentral is "partial 16S ribosomal RNA". It matches the Rfam family "Bacterial small subunit ribosomal RNA", at positions 30 to 506 of the family's 1533-position model. The record is from RNAcentral.
AUUGAACGCUGGCGGCAGGCCUAACACAUGCAAGUCGAACGGUAACAGGAAGCAGCUUGCUGCUUCGCUGACGAGUGGCGGACGGGUGAGUAAUGUCUGGGAAGCUUCCUGAUGGAGGGGGAUAACUACUGGAAACGGUAGCUAAUACCGCAUAAUGUCGCAAGACCAAAGAGGGGGACCUUCGGGCCUCUUGCCAUCGGAUGUGCCCAGAUGGGAUUAGCUUGUUGGUGGGGUAACGGCUCACCAAGGCGACGAUCCCUAGCUGGUCUGAGAGGAUGACCAGCCACACUGGAACUGAGACACGGUCCAGACUCCUACGGGAGGCAGCAGUGGGGAAUAUUGCACAAUGGGCGCAAGCCUGAUGCAGCCAUGCCGCGUGUAUGAAGAAGGCCUUCGGGUUGUAAAGUACUUUCAGCGGGGAGGAAGGGAGUAAAGUUAAUACCUUUGCUCAUUGACGUUACCCGCAGAAGAAGCACCGGCUAACUCCGU